This 768-nucleotide ribosomal RNA is filed under the name bacterium. RNAcentral describes it as "bacterial SSU rRNA". It matches the Rfam family "Bacterial small subunit ribosomal RNA", at positions 38 to 854 of the family's 1533-position model. The record is from RNAcentral.
UUCCGUGCGCUGCUACCAUGCAGUCGUACGAGAAGGUUCUUUCGGGAACUGGAGAGUGGCGCACGGGUGAGUAACGCGUGGGGACCUACCUCUUAGUGGGGGAUAACGGUUGGAAACGACCGCUAAUACCGCAUACGCCCUUCGGGGGAAAGAUUUAUCGCUAAAAGAUGGACCCGCGUUGGAUUAAAUAGUUGGUGAGGUAACGGCUCACCAAGUCAGCGAUCCAUAGCUGGUUUGAGAGGAUGAUCAGCCACACUGGGACUGAGACACGGCCCAAACUCCUACGGGAGGCAGCAGUGGGGAAUAUUGGACAAUGGGCGCAAGCCUGAUCCAGCCAUGCCGCGUGAGUGAAAAAGGCCUUCGGGUUGUAAAGCUCUUUCAAAUGCGAAAAUGAUGACGGUAACAUCAGAAAAAGCCCCGGCUAAUUUCGUGCCAGCAGCCGCGGUAAUACAAAAGGGGCAAGCGUUGUUCGGAUUUACUGGGCGUAAAGGGCACGCAGGCGGUCCUGCCAGUCAGGGGUGAAAGCCCGGGGCUCAACCCCGGAACUGCCUCUGAUACUGCAGGACUAGAGACUAGGAGAGGGUGGUGGAAUUCCCAGUGUAGAGGUGAAAUUCUUAGAUAUUGGGAGGAACACCAGAGGCGAAGGCGGCCACCUGGACUAGAUCUGACGCUCAGGUGCGAAAGCGUGGGGAGCAAACAGGAUUAUAUAGCUGGGUAAGUCACGAAAGCGUGGGGGAGCGAACAGGAUUUACAUACCCUGGGUAGUCA